This 209-nucleotide long non-coding RNA is filed under the name Lepisosteus oculatus (spotted gar). Its description in RNAcentral is "lncRNA (ENSLOCG00000022156.1)". Lineage: Eukaryota; Metazoa; Chordata; Actinopteri; Semionotiformes; Lepisosteidae. The record is from RNAcentral.
GGAGAGGUAAAGACAAAGUGUGACUGUGCUUUCUCUAAUGGAGUCUCUGGAGUCGGGAAGAGUCUUCUCUCAAAUAUCAGAGUGGUCAUGCCCUUCUUCAUCCACCCAGGGGCCUGCUCCUAACUUGUGGAUCUUGAGGCUGUGGUCGGCUGCUAUAAUGAAAGAUUUUCCAGGAGUGACACUAUAGUUGAGCACCACGAUUUCCAGGC